RNAcentral lists this ribosomal RNA (466 nucleotides) under uncultured bacterium. Its description in RNAcentral is "partial 16S ribosomal RNA". It matches the Rfam family "Bacterial small subunit ribosomal RNA", at positions 28 to 507 of the family's 1533-position model. The record is from RNAcentral.
GAUGAACGCUGGCGGCGUGCUUAACACAUGCAAGUCGAACGGAAAGGCCCAAUCUUGCUUGGGUACUCGAGUGGCGAACGUGUGAGUAACACGUGUGUGAUCUGCCCUGCACUUCGGGAUAAGCCUGGGAAACUGGGUCUAAUACCGGAUAGGACCACAUUGUGUAUGGUGUGGUGGAAAGUUUGUCGGUGUGGGAUGAGCUCGCGGCCUAUCAGCUUGUUGGUGGGGUAAUGGCCUACCAAGGCGUCGACGGGUAGCCGGCCUGCGAGAGUGUACGGCCACAUUGGGACUGAGAUACGGCGCAGACUCCUACGGGAGGCAGUAGUGGGGAAUAUUGCGCAAUGGGCGCAAGCCUGAUGCAGCGACGCAGCGUGGGGGAUGACGGACUUCGGGUUGUACACUCCUUUCGCUAGGGACGAAGCGUUAUGUGGCGGUACCUGGAGAAGAAGCACCGGCUAACUACGUG